RNAcentral lists this ribosomal RNA (460 nucleotides) under uncultured bacterium. RNAcentral describes it as "partial 16S ribosomal RNA". It matches the Rfam family "Bacterial small subunit ribosomal RNA", at positions 338 to 795 of the family's 1533-position model. The record is from RNAcentral.
CCUACGGGCGGCAGCAGUGAGGAAUAUUGGUCAAUGGGCGCGAGCCUGAACCAGCCAAGCAGCGUGAAGGAUGACUGCCCUACGGGUUGUACACUUCUUUUAUAAAGGAAUAAAGUGAGGCACGUGUGCCUUUUUGUAUGUACUUUAUGAAUAAGGAUAGGCUAACUCCGUGCCAGCAGCAGCGGUAAUACGGAGGAUCCGAGCGUUAUCCGGAUUUUUUGGGUUUAAAGGGAGCGUAGAGGGGUUGUUAAGUCAGUUGUGAAAGUUUGCGGCGCAACCGUAAAAUUGCAAUGGAUACUGGCAGCCUUGAGUACAGUUGAGGUAGGCGGAAUUCGAGGUGUAGCGGUGAAAUGCUUAGAGAUCACGAAGAACUCCGAUGGCGAAGGCAGCCUACUAAACGGCCACUGACAUUGAUGCUCGAAAGUGUGGGGAGCAAACAGGAUUAGAUACCCUGGUAGUC